CCUACGGGCGGCUGCAGUGGGGAAUAUUGGACAAUGGGCGAAAGCCUGAUCCAGCCAUGCCGCGUGUGUGAAGAAGGCCUUCGGGUUGUAAAGCACUUUCAGUGGGGAAGAAAGCCUUGGGACUAAUACCCUCGAGGAAGGACAUUACCCACAGAAGAAGCACCGGCUAACUCCGUGCCAGCAGCCGCGGUAAUACGGAGGGUGCGAGCGUUAAUCGGAAUUACUGGGCGUAAAGCGCGCGUAGGCGGUCUGAUAAGCCGGUUGUGAAAGCCCCGGGCUCAACCUGGGAACGGCAUCCGGAACUGGCAGGCUAGAGUGCAGGAGAGGAAGGUAGAAUUCCCGGUGUAGCGGUGAAAUGCGUAGAGAUCGGGAGGAAUACCAGUGGCGAAGGCGGCCUUCUGGACUGACACUGACGCUGAGGUGCGAAAGCGUGGGUAGCAAACAGGACUAGAUACCCCAGUAGUC
This 465-nucleotide ribosomal RNA is filed under the name Vreelandella stevensii. RNAcentral's name for it is "partial 16S ribosomal RNA". It matches the Rfam family "Bacterial small subunit ribosomal RNA", at positions 338 to 795 of the family's 1533-position model. The record is from RNAcentral. Lineage: Bacteria; Pseudomonadati; Pseudomonadota; Gammaproteobacteria; Oceanospirillales; Halomonadaceae.